GGUAUUGAAAUAAGAUUUUAAUUGAAUGCUAAGAGAAUGGAAGUUCAGAAAAAAACUUUUUUUAAAUUAAAAAUUGAAGUUUUUUUAAUUUGUGCAGAAACAAUUAUUUAUAUUAAAGACAAGAAGACCCUAUGAAUUUAUUAAAUUUUUAUUUAAUAUGUAAUUACUAUUAAAAAAAUUUUGGCUGGGGCGGCUAGAAAAUAUUAUAAACUUUUUAAAAAUAAAAUGAUCCAUUAUUAAUGAUUUUAUGUUAAAUACUCUAGGGAUAACAGCGUUAUAUUUUUUGAUAGAUCAUAUUGACAAAAAAGUUUGCGACCUCGAUGUUGGAUUAGGAUACUUUUUUAAUGAAGAUAUUAAAAAAAGAAG
Molecule: ribosomal RNA, 366 nt
Filed under: Rhipicephalus sanguineus (brown dog tick)
Lineage: Eukaryota; Metazoa; Arthropoda; Arachnida; Ixodida; Ixodidae
Description: partial large subunit ribosomal RNA
Source: RNAcentral